Molecule: long non-coding RNA, 2979 nt
Organism: Grus americana (Whooping crane)
Lineage: Eukaryota; Metazoa; Chordata; Aves; Gruiformes; Gruidae
Exons: 4
Source: RefSeq, a predicted model, not a curated record
CAAUGUGGCCCUGAGUCUUCUGCAGCCACAGUUCUCACCCCCUCUUUUCACGCUGUAGAAGGCACUUCCCUAGCUCUUCACAGCAUCAUCCUUCAUGCUUACACACACACUCAAAGGUUGGUGAAAACAAGCUGUGCUGUUGGCCGUUAGGACCCCAUCAUGGACAGUUGAGCAUCAGAGAAGACGCACACUCUAAAGGAGCCAUUUUAUCACUCCAACAGCUCUGGCAAACCUUGAUCGCACACUGAUGUUUCACGGCAUAACUGCAGCAGAGAAUGAGGAGCCCUUGUGCACCCCCCGUCUCACCUCCUGAACGGGCGGUGCGAGCGGAUUCUUGAACUCUGAGAGUGACACUGGGAGGGAGAACUUGGAAAGCAUCGACGGCAGGUUGUGGCCCCGGAACUGACAAGAAAACGCAUCUGCUAAUGGAGAAUAACUACAGAAAAGAGUGUCACAGUUAUUCUACAACUCUGCCUUUUCUGAGAAGGUGUGAAGACAAACGAAAGCAGUUUGGUCAUGACCAUGGAAAUGAGUAUCAGGAUUUCAAACACAUUCUCCAGCUCCCCCUAUUCUUUCUGGAGCAGAGAGCUUCACCCCUAAUGCAGGUAUGGACUUUCUGGUGGGGAGGAACAGCGAAAGCCAAGACAGAGCAAGUUGAAUUUGCACAUCCGAGACUAACAACUCUGCAUCGAGCAAGCAUCGCCACAAGAUGGAGCACAAAAUCCAGAGGACAUUCCUGCCACCCCCAAAGCUCCCUGCUGAACACCCAUCCAAUCCCAAGUGAGAACAGCUAUAACCUGCCAGGCCCAACACCCAGCUACCCAACACAGGAGUAUAUGUAACUAAUGCAGCAUCUGAGACGGGGCAAAUGCAGAGAAGCUGGCAAAAGCAGAGCUGCACCCACACUUCCUGACAGGUCUCGAGCAUCAGCAACGAACUGCUCAGCAGUGAAUGCCGAAAUCUGAGUGCUUUCACUCAGUAGUCUUAAAAAUUAGAGAAACUAAAAGAAGUGAUACAUAUUUUUAGUUUUUUCUGAAGUGUAAGUGAAGUUCUAUCAAACAGACAGUGAUGGGAGGGUGGUUAAACCGAUUUACUCUUAUGAGUUGUUCUGGAGUUACAGGUUCCAGGAUGUCUUGUGAACGUUAAUAAAGACUCAAAAGCAUUUCUGAAUGUGGGGACUGAUCCUGUUCCUCCCUUAAAAUCAAAGAAACUACCACCAUUAACAUCAAUCAGGAUGCAGGCUAGAUUUCAUAUCACCUCUUGUCCAGGAAUAAGAAGAAAAGACUAAGCUGGAAAAGAAAAUGUUGAAGGAAUUUGAAAAAUUCAGAAUAUUGCUACAUAAAAGGCAGUCUGGCACACAGGAUUAAAUAUUCAUGCUCUUGUAACUCCUGAAUCUGAGUAAGAAUUUGCUGAGCUGUCCCGUGGAUUAAUUUACUACAGAAUGAAUUCUGAAGAAACCCAAACUGGAGGCUGUCAGGUUACUCCGGUCACUGCCUUUGCUCCAUGGGAAAGGAGCUCCAUCUAGCUUCCUCCUAACUGGAAAAGGGUCCCAAAUUUAGACUCAAAUGAACUAGCAGAGAUGGCUGCCACAUCUAGAAGAUUCCGGACACUAGAAAGUUCUGGGGUGCCUACUGGGGUGAUAAGACACACCCAAAAAGAACAUCCUACAAGAAGUAACAAAAAAGCGUUUACAGCACUUUAUAACUUUGUUUAUUUACCCAGAUGCAAUUUUCUUUAGGCAGAUGGAAAACGAAGAGACAUUUCAUGCAAUUAGGAUAAAACUGACUGGAAAGUGGAGAGAAUGUAUAAUAAGAUGUGGUUAAAAAUGUAAAUACAAGCUUUCAGCUUCAUUUACAGCACAUUUAAGAAGUUGUGCCUUUCAGACAAGAUUAGCAAAAUAAAGGAAUCUGAUGCUGUGAGAGAACAGGCCACCGCUGUCAGGGCCCUGAGGGCACCGAAAGGUCUAUAUGGCCCUGACCAGCCCCAACUGGGUCCCCCACACACCCAUGACCCAGGAGCCCCAUUUAAGUUCAGCUCUGGAGCCCCAUUUAAGCUCAGCCUAGGGCCUGUAGGUGUGCCUGUCUCCAGCUCUGUCUCCUGGAUGGACAUUGGACCUACAUCAUCAUAGGUAGCUUGUCUCCUGGAUGGACUCUUGUUAAAUACAUUGCAGCCUUCUCCUCCAGCCCCGUCUCUGGUCCUGUCUCCUUUUUGCUCCUGGCUGGGGUCCCUGUACAGACCCCGGACCUGGUUCAUCACUUGCCUUGUCUGGGGCUGCUGAUGUACUUGCACAGCUUGGGGACACUUGAAUUCCAUCUUCCGAAACAGCUUAAACAUUUGGGGACUGAGUCUGGGUGAUCCUCCGUCACAUUUCUUGUAGACUCACGACUGAGUUUCAAAAGUGGAACGCUAGCAUCUUUUGAUGCUUGAGGCCAGCUCCUCACUUGGAUUAAAGCAGUCUGGUCCUCUAAAUAUCAAGCAGCAGUUGCCAACAAUCUGUUUGCACCUCUAAUUAUAGAUAGAAAGGACGACAGAAUUGGCAAGCAAAGGGGUUUUUUUCUUGAAAAAAUGAACUUAGUAAAUUUGAUGAAAAAUGAGACCAAAGCAGUUCAGUGACCGAGAUCAGUGUUGGAUACCAAAGCCUAGUUCAUUCUUACAGUCUACCAGGAAGAAGGAAUUGGACAGGGAAUAUUUUGCACAUAGAAACAUGUAAAUUCUCUCCUAGAUGUAAGCAGGACCUUUUCCAUAGCCUAGGUGACAACCGCUUUCAUUCAAAGCAACUAAAACACAAGCCACGGAGCAAAGUCUCAAUACAAACAGCAGCCUGACUGUCCACAAGAAAAUUUUAGACCUCUUUCAACACCCUACCUAUUCCAACCAAGCCUUACGAAUCGUCUUCAGCACCAGUAAGAGUUAAAAGAGUUAAAAACAAGGCUGACAUAGUUUCUAGCAUUUGUGAAGGUUUUUGAUGUGGUUUUUAUA